UACGUAGGGUGCGAGCGUUAAUCGGAAUUACUGGGCGUAAAGCGUGCGCAGGUGGUUUUGUAAGCCAGAUGUGAAAUCCCCGGGCUUAACCUGGGAAUGGCAUUUGGGACUGCAAGGCUCGAGUGCGGCAGAGGAGACUGGAAUUCCUGGUGUAGCAGUGAAAUGCGUAGAUAUGCGGAGGAACACCGGUGGCGAAGGCAAUCCCCUGGGCCUGCACUGACGCUCAUGCACGAAAGCGUGGGGAGCAAACAGG
This 253-nucleotide ribosomal RNA is filed under the name uncultured bacterium. RNAcentral's name for it is "partial 16S ribosomal RNA". It matches the Rfam family "Bacterial small subunit ribosomal RNA", at positions 524 to 776 of the family's 1533-position model. The record is from RNAcentral.